Corvus hawaiiensis (hawaiian crow) is the source of this 603-nucleotide long non-coding RNA. RefSeq lists it as uncharacterized. NCBI's taxonomy places the organism in Eukaryota, Metazoa, Chordata, Aves, Passeriformes, Corvidae. The record is from RefSeq and is a predicted model, not a curated record. The transcript is spliced from 2 exons.
AUGUCUAGGUUUUUAUUCUCACCACCUUAUGUCACUGCCAGGGGUGGAAGUACAGGACUCUCACGUCCCAGAGGAAGGUGGGCGUGACUUGCAGGCCAGGAAAAGCAGGGGCCCAGAGAGUCCAUCAUUCUGUGUCUUGAGGUCAUGCCAUGUUGAGUCAGUUGGUUAGAGCUGGUGAACCUGAGAUGCUGCUCUGAGAAAAGGAAAAAAAAAAGAAAAAAGGGAGAGAGCAGUGGCCACGUGGAGUGGAGCCCAGCUGAGCUAUGUGGACCCCAAGCUGCAGCCACAAUAACUGCAGCUGGAGCUGCAGCCAUAGCCCAAGCUGCAGCCAGAGCAUUCCAGUCCUGCUCCCACAAGGUCAGGCCCAGGAAGAGAGUCCCCAGCCUGUUUCAGAACUCUCUCAGGUCCCACCAGCUUUUGUCUUGUCCCUGUUUUUCUGUUGUUUUUCAUGCUGGUUAACUGGAAAGUUAACCAUGCUGGGCACUGUCUUUGCAAAGUGUCUUUCUUUAUUUGGUGGGUAAAAUACUCUCUCUUUUAUAUACUCUUUUAUUAAUGUUGUUGUGGUUAUUACUAUUUUUCAAUAAAUAGUGAUUAUAUCUUGUA